This 659-nucleotide ribosomal RNA is filed under the name Ammodytes marinus (lesser sand-eel). Its description in RNAcentral is "partial small subunit ribosomal RNA". It matches the Rfam family "Bacterial small subunit ribosomal RNA", at positions 517 to 1491 of the family's 1533-position model. Lineage: Eukaryota; Metazoa; Chordata; Actinopteri; Uranoscopiformes; Ammodytidae. The record is from RNAcentral.
GCGGUUAUACGAGAGGCCCAAGCUGAUAGACCCCGGCGUAAAGAGUGGUUAAGAUAAACUUAAAACUAAAGCCGAACACCCUCACAGCUGUUAUACGCACCCGAGAGUAAGAAGCCCAACUACGAAAGUGGCUUUACAACCCCUGAACCCACGAAAGCUAUGACACAAACUGGGAUUAGAUACCCCACUAUGCUUAGCCCUAAACAUCGAUAGCGCACUACACCUGCUAUCCGCCUGGGAACUACGAGCAUCAGCUUGAAACCCAAAGGACUUGGCGGUGCUUUAGAUCCACCUAGAGGAGCCUGUUCUAGAACCGAUAACCCCCGUUCAACCUCACCCCUUCUUGUUUAUCCCGCCUAUAUACCGCCGUCGUCAGCUUACCCUGUGAAGGAAAAAUAGUAAGCAUAAUUGGCACAGCCCAAAACGUCAGGUCGAGGUGUAGCGCAUGGAGGGGGAAGAAAUGGGCUACAUUCCCUAAUGUAGUGAAUACGAACGAUGCACUGAAAGAUGUAUCUGAAGGAGGAUUUAGCAGUAAGCAGGAAAUAGAGUGUCCUGCUGAAACUGGCCCUGAAGCGCGCACACACCGCCCGUCACUCUCCCCAAACCCAGAACCUUAAGUAAAUAAAUCAUUAUCACCAAGAAGGGGAGGCAAGUCGUAA